RNAcentral lists this ribosomal RNA (497 nucleotides) under uncultured bacterium. Its description in RNAcentral is "partial 16S ribosomal RNA". It matches the Rfam family "Bacterial small subunit ribosomal RNA", at positions 28 to 507 of the family's 1533-position model. The record is from RNAcentral.
GAUGAACGCUGGCGGCGUGCCUAAUACAUGCAAGUCGAGCGAACAGACGAGGAGCUUGCUCCUUUGACGUUAGCGGCGGACGGGUGAGUAACACGUGGGUAACCUACCUAUAAGACUGGGAUAACUUCGGGAAACCGGAGCUAAUACCGGAUAAUAUUUCGAACCGCAUGGUUCGAUAGUGAAAGAUGGCUUUGCUAUCACUUAUAGAUGGACCUGCGCCGUAUUAGCUAGUUGGUAAGGUAACGGCUUACCAAGGCAACGAUACGUAGCCGACCUGAGAGGGUGAUCGGCCACACUGGCACUGAGACAGGGUCCAGACUCCUACGGGAGGCAGCAGUAGGGAAUCUUCCGCAAGGGGCGAAAGCCUGACGGAGCAACGCCGCGUGAGUGAUGAAGGUCUUCGGAUCGUAAAACUCUGUUAUUAGGGAAGAACAAACGUGUAAGUAACUGUGCACGUCGUGACGGUACCUAAUCAGAAAGCCACGGCUAACUACGUG